GGAGCAAGGAGGAAUAAACCAGGUGACCUUUGUGCUGGGAACAGAGAAGAGCACACUUGGGGACAAGUUUCCCUGUUCAUGGGAGCAGAGGGUACUGGAGGCCUGAACUUUGCAGGUGGGGGUUGUCUGCAUCCCGGCUGUUGCAGCAGGAGUGGCAGGUGAAAGAGACAUUAAGAUGAACUAGAAGCCCUUCUCCACACACAAGGAAAGCAGAGCUGGAAGACUAAAUGGGAAGCUGAAGGAGUAAAGGCUGAGCCGCCUUACUCAGCACUGGACCCUGAGUACAACAACACUGACCUACCAGGCAAGGCAAUGCAAUAGCGGCAUGAAGAUUACUGGAGUAACUGCUUUCUUAUUAAAUCUGAUCUGAGGCCAGGAUACAAGAGGAAAUUGAUGUCUAACUGUAAGUUAUGUGACUGUAAACAUGGUCAAAGCUCAUGGUUUUUUGGAAGGCCAUAAGUCCUAGGAGGAAACAUAUAUCAUAUUGUUAAAUGAACAUGUCAAAUUGUCUUCUAAUUACACUUACAUUCAUUAGUGCUACAUUCAAUCUUGUCCAGCGAUGCUAUCUUCUGCAGUGAGCAGCAGUUAAUACAGAAACUGAGAGCUGGCUAAAGUGCAGAGAAUAAGUGACUUAUUGCUAACCAGGACACCUCAAGGUUCAAGGAACAUAGUGGGGAAAAGGCCCAGGAUGAGGACGAGCUCUGUGAAAUACAUCUUCUGGACAUGACAUAGUCAGUCACUGUACCCGCUGACUCAGCACACCCACAAUCACCUGAGCAAGAUCAAGCCAAGAAGAUCAAUUUCCCAGCAGGCAGCACUGAUUGGACUCAAUGAGUCACAAAAACAAAAAGAAAGAAAAGACAAAAGAAAGGAAAGUCUGUGAAGGGAGAAGGUGGGUAUUGGAGAGUAGGUUGGAGAAGUUGGGGGUAGGUUGGAAAUCAACAUACAUUGUAUACAUGUGUAAGUUUGUCAAGGUACAAAUAUAAGAUAUUCUAAAAACUA
Mastomys coucha (southern multimammate mouse) is the source of this 1002-nucleotide long non-coding RNA. RefSeq lists it as uncharacterized. The record is from RefSeq and is a predicted model, not a curated record. NCBI's taxonomy places the organism in Eukaryota, Metazoa, Chordata, Mammalia, Rodentia, Muridae. The transcript has 2 exons.